Molecule: ribosomal RNA, 468 nt
Filed under: uncultured bacterium
Lineage: Bacteria
Description: partial 16S ribosomal RNA
Rfam family: Bacterial small subunit ribosomal RNA
Source: RNAcentral
GACGAACGCUGGCGGCGUGCUUAACACAUGCAAGUCGAACGGAAAGGCCCUGCUUUUGUGGGGUGCUCGAGUGGCGAACGGGUGAGUAACACGUGAGUAACCUGCCCUUGACUUUGGGAUAACUUCAGGAAACUGGGGCUAAUACCGGAUAGGAGCUCCGGCUGCAUGGUGGGGGUUGGAAAGUUUCGGCGGUUGGGGAUGGACUCGCGGCUUAUCAGCUUGUUGGUGGGGUAGUGGCUUACCAAGGCUUUGACGGGUAGCCGGCCUGAGAGGGUGACCGGCCACAUUGGGACUGAGAUACGGCCCAGACUCCUACGGGAGGCAGCAGUGGGGAAUAUUGCACAAUGGGCGGAAGCCUGAUGAAGAAACGCCGCGUGCGGGAUGACGGCCUUCGCGUUGUAAACCGCUUUCGCCUGUGACGAAGCGUGAGUGACGGUAAUGGGUAAAGAAGCACCGGCUAACUACGUG